RNAcentral lists this long non-coding RNA (1299 nucleotides) under Marmota monax (woodchuck). The record is from RNAcentral. Lineage: Eukaryota; Metazoa; Chordata; Mammalia; Rodentia; Sciuridae.
CACCACCGCACCAGGCCAAAAUGGCCACUUUGGAUCAGUUUUGAGGAGAUGUUUGCUGGAUGGACGCAACUCAAACAAGAGCGAGAUAGGAUUUUUAAAUAAGUAGAGAUGCAUGGGGUGAAGAGAGGAGAGGACAGCAUUCCAGCAGAAGGAACAGCAGGUGCAAAUGCCCGGUGGUCAGAGAGAACCCGCGAAGUACCGAAGUGAGGGAGACUGGCAGGCUGUUCCUAGCAUUCGCUUCAACGACCCCUCUCAGAGCCUCUGGUGAGUCCUCACAGUCUCAGGUGGCCCAGAGGAGAGCAGAAACCAGGCUGGGAGAAGCCUGGACCCUGAAUGGCCACAGGGAGCAGAGUCUCCCUCAGCUACCUGCACCGGACCAGGACGGAUGUGGUGUCCCUUCUCACGGAGCGAAGGCACCAGCACCUGUCAGCCAGGGCUGAGUCAGGGCAGCGUGGCUGGGAGGUGGAGCGUGGUGUGAACGAGGUGAGGGACAUCGGCAGGUUAGGGACAGGCCAUGUUGGACCUUGUGGGGCCACGGGACCACGUUCUGUGAUGGGAGGUGAGUGGAAGUGACAGGAAUGACCUACAGCCCGUGUCCUCAAGGGAAGGCAGGGAGCCUUUCUUCAGGCUGUCCCCAUCCUGCAUCUGGGCCGCGUAGCAUCCUAAGGAAGGUGGAGCCUCAGAUGACCUCCCCCGUGGAGCCCCAGUUCCCUGGUGCCGUGGUCUCAUCUCUCAUUCACUUAUUCAUUCAACAACCGUCAUGAAGCCCCUCUUGUGUGACGGAAGUCACGGGGCUGGCCGUCUAAUGGACAAGAGAAACAAAUGUCCACACAAAGACUUAAUGAUACAGUCUGGUAAGUGAGACUGUAACCAAGGGGUGACAUUUACAAACGGGGUAGCCAGGAAGUUCUCUCUGGGGAAAUUUGAAGUUUUUCCCAGGGGACAAUGGAGGGAUUGUCACAGUGUCCCCUUGCCUGCUGUUCUAAAGGGCAGUGGGAAUUGCCGGAGCGUUGGUCAGCGGACGACUGGACGAGGCAGCGUCUACAGUGUCGCCUCUGGGACGCAGCCAGGCUCUGGAGCUGUGGGGCAGUCCCCUCCCCAUUGUCACCCAGAAGGAAGUAACUGACUUCUCCUUUGACCACAGAGGGAAGGGCAGGAAGGGAAGAGGUUCAGCAGGACACUCAGGUGGGAAGGAUGCCAGGGGCUCUCCAGCAAGUCCUGACCCUCGGGCAGACCAGGGAAGGCCUCCCAGGGCGGCCACGGAGUCGGCAAGGACACUUGUGGCUGCUGGGGAUUAUU